UUUAAGUUGUUGCAGUUAAAAAGCUCGUAGUUGGAUUUUGGUUAAGAGGGCGCGGUCGGCCGUUUGGUCUGUACUGCGUUGUCUUGACUUCCUGAUGAGGACAUGCUCUUGGUUAACGCUGAGACAUGGAGUCAUCGUGGUUACUUUGAAAAAAUUAGAGUGUUCAAAGCGGGCUUACGCUUGAAUAUAUUAGCAUGGAAUAACACUAUAGGACUCCUGUCCUAUCUCGUUGGUCUCGGGAUGGGAGUAAUGAUUAANAGGAACAGUUGGGGGCAUUCGUAUUUCAUUGUCAGAGGUGAAAUUCUUGGAUUUAUGAAAGACGAACUUCUGCGAAAGCAUUUGCCAAGGAUGUUUCCAUUAAUCAAGAACGAAAGUUGGGGGCUCGAAGAUGAUUAGAUACCAUCCUAGUCUCAACCAUAAACGAUGCCGACUAGGGAUUGGUGGAUGUUAAUUGAUGACUUCACCAGCACCUUAUGAGAAAUCAAAGUUUUUGGGUUCCGGGGGGAGUAUGGUCGCAAGGCUGAAACUUAAAGGAAUUGACGGAAG
This 546-nucleotide ribosomal RNA is filed under the name uncultured Chlorophyta. RNAcentral's name for it is "SSU rRNA". It matches the Rfam family "Eukaryotic small subunit ribosomal RNA", at positions 604 to 1162 of the family's 1831-position model. Lineage: Eukaryota; Viridiplantae; Chlorophyta. The record is from RNAcentral.